Molecule: long non-coding RNA, 19414 nt
Filed under: Citrus maxima (pomelo)
Lineage: Eukaryota; Viridiplantae; Streptophyta; Magnoliopsida; Sapindales; Rutaceae
Description: long non-coding RNA (CMAX_LNC000789)
Rfam family: Plant small nucleolar RNA R71 (bases 16952-17055)
Source: RNAcentral
UCAAAUAGUAUAAUACGCUUCACACGUAGGCUUGGCAAAAUCCGGGUCCGGUCCGGGUUUUGGUGUUGCCCGGGACCGGACCGGAUGAGAGAAAUGCAAGCCCGGACCCGGGUUAAAACCCAGUUUUUCCGGGUGCGGUCCGGGCUUGAGCCCGGCACCUUCCGGGUCCGGGUUUUGAUCUGGGCUUUUUAAACCCGCAUGUGAUAACUUCAAUUUUUUUUCUUCAAUUUUUUCUUCAAUAUUUUCUUUCAUUUCUCUAACAAUGCAAAUUUUAAAAAAGAAAAUAAUCAAAUAAACUCAUUCAAUCUCAAACUUCAAAAAAGAAAAUAGUCAAAUACAAAUAUAUAACACACUAACAACGCAAAAUUUGCACAAAUGAUAAAUAAAAAUUAUUUCAAUCUACUUUCUAAUACCUAAAUUCAUCCAAUUUCUAGCUUAAACUCAUUCAAUCUAUAUAUAAAAUAAAUAAAUUAAAUUCAACAACACAAUAAUCACACAAUAAAUUUAAAUAACAUUCAACAUAUCAUAAAUUCAUAAUUAUAUAUUUAUAUAUAAUAUAUUUAUUUUUUUAAAUUUAUUAAAAAACCGGGUCCGGUCCGGGUUUUUUGUGUUGAACCCGAACCUGGGCCCGAAAAUGUCCAGGUUUGAGAAUUUCAAACCCGGGUCCGGUUUUUAUAUGCAUGCAGUCCAAAUUUUGCCCGGACCGGAUUGGCCGGGUCCUGUCCGGGCGGGCUUUUUUGACACCCCUAUUCACACGGUUCCAUGAUCGAAUUUUGCAUUUGCCAUCAAGUCGAGAAAUUUGCAACUCUUCCCACCACUCUGAAACACUUAUGCUUAAUUUACUAAUAACAAAUGAUACUUGCUCUUCUUUAGGAGUGCCCCAAGCUAUAAACCAAUACUCAAUCUUGUCCAACUAAUCAAGAAAUUGUUUUGGACAAGUGUAUGCAAAUAAUUCUAAUAUACGAUAAAUAGAAGAGCAAGGAUGGUAGUUUGCCAUUCAAGUUUCCACACAAUGGCAAAAUUGUAAUUCAGGCUCAACUCUCGGGUUUAGUAUGGUCGGCGGCCGGUGGUUGUGAUUGGGACCGGAGGGUGUCGGAUCUAGAAGAUUUGGUGGUAAGGAAUACGAUGGUGGUCGUGGAUUAGCCAGACUUGCAACAGUUUUUCGUGAAUUCCGGCUCAAAAUUGUGGCGGCUUGCGGUGAUUAGGUGGCUUUUUUUACAGUAUAGAUUUCGGCGAUGAUCGUUCACGAUGAUGGUUGGGUUUUGAUUAUUGAAGGUUGGGGAAUCUUGUAGUGAUUGUGGUCAAUGGCAAAAGUGGUCAGUUUCACGGUGGCGAGUGGGAGGAGAGCUUGCGGGUUUUAGGCGAUUCGUAGCUAUUCAGGCGACAAUUGAGAUGGAAAUGACUAGGGUUUGGUUGUUAGAUGAUGGUGAGUUUGGUGGCGAUGUUGGCUAACGGUGAGGGCGACUGACGCUGGUGGAUUUAGAGGGGAAGGCCUUGGGUUGUGGGGUUUCAUGAGGUGGUUUUAAUGGCUCGAUUUCAAUUGGGUUGGGUCAGGAUUUAGUCAGUUAUGGCUGCUGAGUUUGGUGGUUGUCGUGCUAGUGGUAGUGGUGAUGUGGCUGGGUGUGGCGAAUAAGGUUUCAAUUUUUUUUUUUUUUUUGUGAUGGAUUUGGUGGGAAUGGAUGAGGUAUCUAGGAAAGCUGUGAGAUUCACAAAGAACCUCUCUAAUACCAAUUGAUGGAGCGGGUGUAGCGGAAGCGAAAAUUUUAGAGUUAUACCCAAGAAUUAAAUUUAUUCUAGGACCUGAUCUUGAAAUAAUAAAAGAUAUAUUUGAAUAUAGUUUUAUUAACCUUAUUUAUGUCAGUGAAAAAUACAAGAGCUAAAAUUACUUCUAGAAAAGAUCAAAGAAACUAUUGUCACCCUUAAAAGAGAAACCAAGACAAAAGAAACGAUUAUUGUCAAAUUGCUUACUACUUUCCUAGAGUACUAUAAUAAUAUAUGGUACCUAGAACAACGUAUGAUAAAAGUUGGAAUUAGCAAUAUAAGGGUUAAUCCAACCAUUGAUUUAGAUCAAGUAUACAAUGACUAUGAUCCUAAAUCAUUUGAACCUAAAGCUCUCUCCAGCAAAAAGGCAAUUCGAAUGAAAGUUCUUUGUGAAUAGCUCGAAAGGACAAGUAAAGAAAGAGUAUGAUUUUACCAUUUCAGACAAAGAUAUAUUAUAUUUUCCUUAGCAUAUAUGAAAGUAUGACAGCACACCAAGCCAUCUUAAAAAAGAGAAAGGUGAUAUAUGAAAGUCUUAUGAAAUCUAACCAAGAAACGCACCAUGAGGUAUGUAAGGUGCUCAAGCAAAAUAUGAAUUAUGGCUUUUGUUACAAAAGAUAAAAAAAAGAUAAAAAAAAGAGCCAACAAAGAUAAUAUGUCGCCAAAAAAGAGAAAGGUGAUAUAUGAAAGUCUUAUAAAAUCUAGCCAGAAAACACAUCAUGAGAUAUGUAAGGUGCUCAAGCAAAAUAAGAAUUUUGGCUUUUGCUACAAAAGACCAAAAAAAAAAAAAAAGAGCCAACAAAGAUGAUAUGUCGCUAAAUGAAGACCUCAGAAUCGGCUUGUGAUAGGAAACCACUGAAAAGAUAAAAGAUAUUAACUAAAAGCAUCAAUAAUUCAGGAAAAAAGAAUCUAAGGGACGAGAUAAGCUUUAUCGGAAUCCUUAUUCCUAAAAGCAAUCAUGUGAAGAUUGUUACCUAGAAAAAAAAACGGAUGACAACUAUCCUCAAUAAUAAAAGGAGGGUCACUUUAUCUCAACAGAAUCAACCAUGAAAAUGUAAUAAGUGUCAUGCAAGGAGAUAUAAUCUUAUCGCAUCAAGUUUAUAAAUAAGAGUCAUAUAAAAAAGGAAGGGCAUCCUCUCAUUAGUAUCUAUAUUUACUCUUCUAGAGUCUCAUCGAUAUUAUCAUUUAUAUCUUUAAACUUCCUUUGUAAAAAUUCAAUAAUGAAAUAAAUAAAAUUCUUUUUUAGUUAAAUUAUCAUCUUGAUACAUCUUAUCUUGAUUUUAGAAAAAUAUUCAGAAUCUUACGUGCCAACACUUGUGUUAAAGAAAAAGACUUUAUAUUACUAAGCAUUCUCCCUUAAACGAUUACAAGAAGAUCACUUAAAUAGAUCUAUUAGGCCAUUUUGCAGUAUGUUGCAUUGGGCCAUGUUGAGUCAUCAUUGGGGUGAUUCUGAAAGAUGUGUGGAGCUAUGGUGGUGCUGACUGCGAACUAAAUUGUGGUUGGAGUUAGCUUGCAAUUGUCUAUUCCAGAAUUCUAAGGAAUAAUACACUGAUUAGUAUUUUGAAUUAUCUUCUUAUAUUUUGCACAAACUAUUUUUUAUAAAUAAAACUCUUUUUAUUUUAUUCUUAUAAAUAAAACUCUUUUUAGUGAAAUUAUCAUCUUGAUACAUCUUAUCUUGAUUUUAGAAAAAUAUCAAGAAUCUUAUGUGCCAACAUUGAUUAGUAAAAUUAUCAUUUUAAGGAAUAGUAAACUGAUUAGUAUUCUGAAUUAACUUGUUAUAUUUUGCACAAACCCUUUUUUAUAAAUAAAACUCUUUUUUAGUGAAAUUAUCAUCUUGAUACAUCUUAUCUUGAUUUUAGAAAAAUGUUGGACCUUGAUCGUUUUCUAGAAUUUUAUAAGAUAUGGGGUGAUGAUAAUAACUCAAUUUCAUAAAAAUGAAAAAAAGCGGUCAAUAAAUUUAUAGAUGUAAUUGAUAAUCUAGAUUUUAGUCAAGAAUAUCAAGUUAUUGAUGCAAUAGAAAUUAUUAAAACUCAAUUAAUUGCAAGCAAAUGCUUGUACAAAGAUAUGAGAGAAUAAACAUUGAUGAUAACAAUGAAAUAUUUAACACCUUCGAGGAAGAAAGUAAGAUAGGAUUGAUAGAAUCUAUUCUAACCAAUUUGAAAUAAUUCAAGACUAAUGCAAAAUGAAUAACAGGAUACAAGAACGUCCAUAAUAAAAUUAAAUGAUGGAUAAUAACAAUAAGAACAAUAAGAACAAUAACAAUAACAGUAGUAUGAAAAUUUUAAUUUAGAAUGCUGAAUUUAGAUUAGAAAAUCUAUGUGAAGAUAUUGAUGGUAUGUAACUUGGAUAGGAACGUGUGUGUGUGUAGAGAGAGAGAGAGAGAGAGAGAGAGAGAGAGAGAGAGAGAGAGAGAGAGAGAGAGAGAGAGAAUUUGCUCUAUGCAUCCAGAGAGAAAAGGAAUUAUAAAUGUAGGUGCUAAUAUAUAUUCAGAAUUUAUAAAUGUAGGUGCUAAUAUAUAUUCAAAAUUUAUAAAUCGGAGAAUAUGAUAUAUGAAAGCUUGGUUAAUUUUGUUUCAACAAAAUACAAAGGAAGAUUUGACCUCAUUGAUGAAUCGAAAAAGUUACCCUCAACCUCAAUAAUGAAAGAAGGAAGAGUUAAAAAGUAACAGAACUUUAAAACUUAAAAACAAGGACAGAGAAUUAACCUUUGCGCAGCAUGCUUGCUAUUCAUCUCUCAUUCGAGCAGAUACCGAAAUAUAUUCUUUUUUGCCAUGCUAUGUUAUUACAAUCACAGGUACAAGUUUGACCAAAUGGGUCUAUUUGAAUCAAUCUAGUGGACGCAUUUUAAUGCCCUUUACAAUGACAGUGUACUCUUGUCUCUCUGUGGCAUUUCGUCGAGCAGUUGACUCAUUACAGCAAACACCUUCUCGUUCUAACAAGACACUAUAAUUUGCAGGACUUUAAACAUAAAAAUAUCUUUGUAACGCAUGCAUAUAUACCUUUGACAUAAUCUAAUCUAAUUAACUAUUAUAUCUUCUUAAUUUUAUCGUGCAGCUGAUUUUCAUGAAUUAUUGUUUAUUUUUUACACAUUGUAAAGAUCAAGUUUGAAGAUUGUUUGGAUGUGCCAACUCUGUAGAGUUUAUUGCGUCCUAAAAUAUUUGUUCUGAUGAAAAAUGAGAUAACAUUUAAUUAUUAAUAUACCUUAUAUCCGAUUUUUCAGUUUAUGUUAUUUCUGCGAUUGAAGUAAUGGAAUUGAAGUCUACAAGCAAACAUUAAUGAGGGUUAAUUAUCUCCAGAUAUUUAUUAAUUGUACAAAGAGUGAGCAUUAACUGCAGAGUAAUAUUAGCAUGAACCAAAUUAAGCUAAGUAAUUAUUAGUGCACUUUUUUUUUCCUUUUAAACAUAAUCAUAUGAGUUGAUAGGAAGUUUUGAAGAUUAUGAUGCAUUGAAAUAUAUUAAUUAUCCAAACGUAUGAUGUCAUUCCUUUGGUUUAAAAUAUCAUCAUAAACAGAGAUGCUAUAUCUCCAUUCUUUAAUCAAGCUUAGCUCAUCUAUUUUUUCUUCUAAGCGUGGGAGCACUCCAAUCUUUUGUUUCACUUUUGUUGCCCCUGACUCUGCUCAUCACUCUGCCUGAAGUACUAGAACUUCCUACAGCAGCAGCCAAAAGUUUUAGCUUAGAGCUCAUUCAUGGAGACUCCAUACAGUAGUACAAUGAUCAAUAACUAACAUAAGGAUCUCAAAAGUCUACCUCAGUUUCAGCAUGCACAGUAUCAGUUUGGCCUACUGAAAAUCUUGUACUUACCAUGGGACAGUGCGUAUCCUCGAACCUAAAUUUAAUGUAUUUAAUUAAUUGAGACCGAAUUUAUAAUCUAACUGAACUAAAAAGAAAAUAUCUUUUUAAAUUUUUGAACUAAGUGGAGUCAAGCCCCUUGAGCUAUGUCGACAUGAAACAACUUCUUUAAACAUAUUAAUGUUGUGUUUACUUCCUGGAUUGGGGAAUCGAAAUCCGGAAUCGGAAUUAUUAAUAACGUUUACUUCGUAAAAUUGAGUUAGGAAUCAGAAUCGAAAUCGUGGGGCCUACCACAAUUUGAGAAUGAGGAAUGAGAGACUCAUUCCCAAGGGGAAGGUGGGAAUGAGUCUCCCAUUCUUAAGAUUGACCAUUUUGCUCUCCCCAAAAUUAAAAAUAUCCAUUUUGUCCUCUUUUAUAAUUAAUUAAUAUAUUAUUAUAAUUAAUUAAUUUAUAUAUUAUGAUUAAUUUAUAUAUAAAUACAUUAUUACCUAUAAGUAUUAAAAAUUAUAGUUCUUGAAUAAAUAAUCACAAUAGUUAAUAUAUUAUUAUUGUAAUUAAUUAAUUAAUAUACUAUUAUAAUAAUUAUUAAUAUAAUUGUUAUAAUUAAUUCAUAUAUUAUUAUUAAUUAAUUAAUUAAUAAUAUUAGUAAUUAAAUAAUAUAAUUAUUAAUACUAAUUAAUAUAUUAAUAUAUUAUUAACAAUAAUUAUUAAUAAUUAUAAAUUUUGAAUAAAAAAUCACAAUAAUUAAUAUAUUAUUUUAAUUAAGUAAUUAAUAUUAAUAUUAUUAGUUAAUAUAUUUUUAUAAUAAUUGUUAAUAUAAUUAUUAUAAUUAAUUAAUUAAAAAAUUUUAGAAUUAAUUAAUAUAUUAGUUAAUAAUAAUUAAGACAAUAAUCCAUUAAGUACUUUUUAGUAAUUUGUUACAAUCUAACUCAUUCCGAUUCCGAUUCAAAGACAAAGUAAACAUAUUAAUGGCAAUCUAGCUUAUUCCGAUUUCGAUUCCUACAGUUCAAGUAAACAACUUAUUUUGAUUCACAUUCUUUAUUCCCAUUCCUGCCCAUUUCGAUUCCAACUUAUUCUGAUUCUAGUUUAGUAAACACAUCAUGAGUUUAUUAUAGUUAGCUCUCUCAAUGACAGUGCACUCGUCUUAUGCAACCAAGUUGUCUAGAGAAAGUGCUGUGUUGUGCAAAUUUUAAUGUACUCGCAAGCGCACGAAUCUAUUGUAGUAUAGAUCAAUGGUGACGAGUGUCGAUCCCACGAGGAGGUGAAUUUUAAUUAUGUGUAGAAUUAAUUUUGUAAAUGGGUGAUUGGAUUUGUGGUGGAAAUGAUUUGGAAUAUGCUAAAACUUAAAUUAAAAUGGCGAGAAUAAAUUCUAAAAUUGGAAUUGAAAUGGCGAGAAUAAAUUGAAGAGAAUUCUAUUGAAAUGACGUACUUGGGUAUCUGGAUCCGUAUCAACAUGCAUCAUGGGCUAAAUAAUCCUUAUUAAUGCCAAUUAAAUCAUGAGGGGGGAAUCCACACUUCAUGAACCACACUCUAAUCAAUAUGGUGCUAAGGGCUUAUCGUGCCAAAUAAUAAUAACCUUGUACUAGGAGGCCGGUGAAACCAAGGCGGUACUAGACAAGAUUAUUAUUAUUUGUCGACGAAAAGUCAAAACAUCCACAAAAACUAAAGGGGAAGAGCAAAAAAAAAUAUACCAAAUAAAGCCCAUGACACAUGUUGAGACUUCACCUUCAAUCCAAGCUUGAAAGAAAAUUAGCCACUCAUAAUUGAACUAGGGGUAAAAUGGGAAUUUAUUAAAAUACAAAGAAAAUACAAGAUGGAGAGGGAAUUACAGAAAAUGGAGUCCAAAAAUGGAUUCAGAGCUAUCAAAUUAGGGGGGGAGGUCCCCUUUUUAUAGAUACAUCGAGUAAAUCAUGGCCAUCGGAUUAAAAACAGUUUGGACGCUCAGGAUUGCGCUACGUCAUCAGUCAACAGUACGCGUGAACAGUACGCAUGAACAAUCAACACUAUGCAGCUUGAACAGUGACACGGUUUGCAAACGGUUUGUACAGUAACGCGGUUUGCACAGUAACGCGGUUUGGUUGAAAAUAAUCCCAUGUGUUGCAUGUACCGUACGCGCGUUUUUUUCGUCCACUGAUAUGCUGCCACGUCACCAUCAACAGUACAUAAGAAUUUUAGCCCAACAGGAUCGUGACACCUCAUCAGUCAAUGCCACGUCAUCGGUCAAUGCCAUGUCAUCGAUCCGUCUAUGUGAACAGUGCCGUGAACAGUAACAAAGACAAUACCCGUACAUGUGAAUAGUACCAUACAUGUGAACAGUGCCAUUUUUCCUUUUAUGCUCAUCCUAAGGUUUUCGACCUUCCUGAGUUCAAAAGUGAUGUCCGUUUUGCCGUCUGAUCUCUCGUUUAUUGUGAAAUGACCAUGAUGCUCCUAAAAUACAUAAAAUACUUAAUUAAAAUCAAACACACAUAAUUAAAUUGCAAGAAGCUUAAAUACAUAAAAGUAAGGGUUGUUAGUAAAACUUCAAAUGUAAAAUAAUGAUUUUCUCCUUUAUAAAUAUACAUUUUCUAACACUCAACACACCCCCCAACCAGCUUAUUGCUAGUCCCUAGCAAAUAAAGCGAAAACGAAAUUCAAAUCCAAAAUGAUUUUUUUUUUUUUAUAGAAACACUCGUGUUUAUUCAAUCAGAUUAAUGAUAGCAAUCAAAUAAAAGUAUAAGCAUUAUCUCUAGUCUAAAGAAACAUCACACCCACAUCAACCAUCCACAUGAAUCAGCCCAGUAGACUGUCAUAGCUACUUUCAAGAAUGACAUGUCAAACCCCAAAAUCUCACUGGAAGUAGUGACACUCUCACAAAGAAAUUAAACCCAAUAAAAAUAGUCACUCCAAUGAAUGGUACUUGAGAGAGAAAAUAAUAAAGAAGUGAUAUCACAUGCUCUCACCAAGAUGAAAGAAAUAUGCCCUCAGCUUAGAAAUAAUACGAUCUCAAGUCAAAUAAAAAUGUUAGUCAACCCACUUUAUUUAUCUUUUUUUUUUCUUUUUUUUUUAUUAUGCAUCACUACAUAUUUUUAGCCCAUAUAACUAGCUUCUACUUCAAACUAUAGUUCCCUAAAAUCAAGAAGGACUUUUAUUAGGACGUAACGUAGGCUAGGGACAUGGCUAACAAAGAAGGGAAAUAAGGAAAACAAAGUGUAUGUUUGAGAAAAAUGCAGAAUUUUUUUUUUUUUUUUGGAAGUUGCAAGGUGGAUUUCACCUAUUAUUGUUAUUUUUAUUCUUUUGAAACAACAACUUUUGUUUUGUUGUUGUUUUUUUUUUUGACAUAACUUUACUGAACAAAAUAAUUAUUUACAUUUUCUCAAACAUAAAUAGGUGAUGAAACUUAUAAGACAUCGGGUAAUACUCCAAAUCGGAGUGGGUCAAGAUGAUAAGUUGACAAAGAAAAGGUUUUUUUUUUUUUUUUUUAAAGGCUCAAAAGGGGUAACUAUGGAUAUUUAAUAAAAGGGAUGGUUAGAAAGGCUCAAAUGGAUCAAAGAUGGCCUUUCCAUCGUCUUUUAGGGCUCUAAAUAAUCAUCCAUAUCUACUAGUUAGACGGGCCUCCCAAUGUAGCAACACGCAUUUUUUUUUCUUUUUUUUUUAAUAUUACCAUUUUUUUUAAGGGUUAACUCAAAAGAAAUCUAGAGAUCGUGUAUACAAUAAUAAACUGCUAAGCUGUAUAAAGAAUGGUUAAAAGGGUUACUCUCCAAGAAAAUGAUAGGCUCAACAACUCACUUGGCACUUAUUUAUGACAUGUUCAUUCCUUCAAGCAACUCAUAUUUGUCUCCGACAUCAACAUGUAAAGUAGCAAACAUAGCGUAACAUCACUUAAGACCAAAGAUAAUACAAAUACUAAAAUUUGAAAUUAAUCAUGUCAUCCAAUGUUAAAACAAAUCACACAAAUUUUUUUUUUUUAAACAACAUUCUACCCCCCAACCUAUUCUAAACAUGAAAGGAAAAUAUACAUGCAGAAAUGUGAAAACGAUGCAUAAAAACUAAUUAGAAAAGUUACACUUAAAAUGAUAGAAAACGAAAAUGGGUUUUUUUUUUUUAACUUAGAAGAUGCGUUUCUAGAGGCACUACACUCCAUAUUCAGCCAUCUUUGACUCAAAAAUUUGAAAAUAUAUAUUUAUAAGGAGAAAUUAAAAAGAAGAAGAAAAAUGAACAUUAAAACAUAAUAAAGAAAAAAAAAUGUCUAAAUUUUUUUUUUAGUUUUUUAGUUUUUUUUUAAUUAAUUUUUUUUUAACGAUGAAGAUGCGUUUCUAGAGUCACUACACUCCAUAUUCAGCCAUCUUCAACACAAAAAGUUAGCAACAGUUAGUUUCUACAACAAAGCCAUCUUCAACACAAAAAGUUAGCAACAGUUAGUUUCUACAACAAAAAAAAUUAGUAAAAACUUAACCAAAAUUCCACAAUUGUCGACUAUUCCCUCCCCCCAACCAGAACGAAACAUUGUCCUCAAUGUUUGAAAGGAAAGAAGUAGAGUUUAGAAGACAUCACCUGGGUGGUGCAACACAGAAGAAAAUAUUUACAAGCGGAGAGUUAAAUCUAAUUUGUACUUCUUACUGCGGCUACUGUUACCAUCAUUAUUUGGGCGCUCCAACACAAAGGUCCAGGGGUCUGGAUCUGGUUUAUAAGCUUGUAACAGAUCAAGUAGCUCAUUAGCAGUGUGAGCACAAAUAAAAAGUUUUUUUACAUUAGAAGGAAUGAAAAAGUUUUUUAUUGCAUGGUUAAGAAAUGCGAUAAAGCCAUCAUAACAGUUAUUGACAUUUAACAAACCGAUGGGUUUCUGGUGGAUGUGCAGAUGGGCCCAAGAUGCUAGUGUGAUAAGUGCCUCUAGUGUUGCAAGAUCUCCUGGAAGGAAAAUAAAAGCAUCAGCAUGAUUAAGCAUUUCAGUUAUUCUUUCUUGCAUACCUGAGACGACUAACUCUUCUCCAGUUGAUGAGUCAGACGAACUGCCCAAUGGUUUUAGGACUCUUGGGAUGAUGCCUAACACUUGACUUCCUCUGAUAAAAGCUGCUUCUGAGAUCAUUUUUGAUAACCCUUGGUUACCUCCUCCAUACACCAAGUGUAAUUUUCUCGCUGCUCUGCUUCUACCAAGAUCUAUGACUGCCUCAACAAACUUUUUAUGUUUGCCAUAGGUAAAUCCAGAAAGCACACAAAUGUUCUUGAAUUGUCUAUUGGGAGUAGCUGCCAUUGGAAUACUUCUCAAAAAUAAUUUGGGAGCGCUUGACAAAAAAGAAAUCACAUUUAAGAAUCUUGGUGACAGUGGAUCACAACUGUGAAUGAGGUAACAUGUCAGUAUCAAAUAACGCGUAAAGUACAUGGCUCGCGAGUCAAAAAGGAAACAGUAAAAAGGAAAAAGCAAACAGUAAUAAAAUUAUUAAAGACAAUAAUGCAAACAAUAAAACAACAGUGAAAUGAAAUAAAAUAACAGUAAAGUAAAAAGGAUAUGUACAAGUAGUUGCGACUGUGGCUCACAUCUUCCUCUAGUUUUACGUCCAGAAACGGCUUGAACACCCUCUAUGGGUCGAGGAUAGGCUUCCCAUCCAGUUUUCUUAUAAACUGGCAAACAGGGUUGUAUAUAGUCAGAUUCCCGAGACUAUAUCGUGCAUGCUCUUUCUGGAAUAAUGACCACAACUGGAGAAUCGCUCCUUGCACAUAUCCACUGGGAUGCGUUUCAAGAGACAAAAGAAUAUCAUCCAAUGACUCCUUAUUCAAGCCAUCCCUAAUGAAUUGAAUCUUAUCUUCCCUGUUAUCAGACACAAUUCCUAAAGAACAUGGGUUUUUAUCGCAUCUCAUUCUGGCACACUUAUGACAAGCAACAGAAAUUCUCUGAGCUCGUCGUUUUCGUGCAUAAUUUCCUUUACCACAACCAGGCAUGUAUGUAAUAAAUUUUGGAGGUAACUCACCUGUCGAUCGUACUUUCGCCUCGAUUAACCAACAGAUGUCAGCAGGUAUGUUAUUCCUUAUGAACAAUCGCAUGCGUUCGGACCGAGCUUUAUAGAUCGUAAGAAGGGCAUUCUGAGGAAGUGAAGGGAAUCGCUUGUGAAGCUUCGCUAGAAUCUCGUUUCUGUCCAUACUUUCACCUCAGAAUAUCAGUUAUUAUGGGAAACUGAAGUAACCGACUUGAUUGUCACGGAGUACCGUUAUCCGCCACUUCACCGGGGUAACAAACUAAAGCACACAAACAGAAAAAUAAAUCAAAACACACAAAGAAAAUUAAAAUCGUCCUCUUAUUGAAUUUACCUCAAGCUCCAACUGGAUGUCGUAAACACUUCUCUCAAUGUUUCUGAGUUGGCGUUCUAAACCCUCAACAUAGGCUACUAACUCUGGUGAUUGUAGAGCCCAAAUACGAUGUGUUUUACAAAAUUGAAUUUGCCUUUUGAGAUGAGUUUUGACACGUUGAAGUGGUUUAAGAAUGUUCAGGAGGAACGGUCUAAGUAAGGUACUCAUGAUUAAAAAUGAUAAGAGAAAACUUAAUAGUUAAACAAACACACUUAUACAAAAAUAAUUUCAAUUAGCAAAAGAAUAAUAUAAAGAAAGAAAACAAAAUCAAAUCAACGAAAAGAAAAAAAAAUCAAUUCAAAUCUGGUGGGUCACUCAAAUUUAUUUCGGUGUCUUCUCCAUGUGGUUGGUAUUCUAGAUAUGGCUUUAAUCUUUGACCAUUAACUUUAAAUGUAACACCGUUCUUUGGGUCCUUAAUUUCAAUUGCCCCAUGUGGAAAAUCAAUAUGAACAAUAAAGGGACCAGACCAACGAGAGCGUAACUUACCUGUGAAUAAGUGCAAGCGAGAAUUGAAUAAAAGCACUUUAUGUCCUGGAGUGAACGAUUUUCUCAUAAUUUGCUUGUCAUGGAAGACUUUCAUUCGUUGCUUGUAAAUCUUGGUAUUUUCGUAUGCAUCAUUAUGAAUUUCUUCAAGUUCUGCCAGUUGUAAUCUUCUUUCUGAGCUGGAUUGCUGCAUGUCAAAGUUGAAUUUCUUGAUGGCCCAAUACGCACGAUGCUCGAGUUUCACAGGUAGGUGGCAAGCUUUUCCAUACACUAGCCUGUAGGGUGACAUCCCAAUCGGGGUCUUGAAAGCCGUUCUGUAUGCCCAUAACGCAUCAUCAAGUCUUAAUGACCAAUCUUUCCUGUCUGGCCUCACCGUUUUUUCUAAUAUGUGCUUUAUUUCUCGAUUGGAUAUCUCAACUUGGCCACUGGUUUGCGGAUGAUACGGAGUCGCCACUUUGUGUGUGAUUGAAUACUUUGUCAAAAGAGCUUUGAAUGCUUUGUUACAAAAGUGGGCACCACCAUCACUGAUUAUCGCUCUAGGGAAUCCAAAGCGCGAAACAAUGUUGCUUUUCAAAAAUCCUAUCACCACCUUGUGAUCAUUGGUUCUACAUGGAAUUGCUUCUACCCAUUUCGAUACGUAGUCAACAGCAACCAAUAUGUAUUGAUGACCAAAAGACGGGGGAAAGGGUCCCAUGAAGUCGAUACCCCAUACGUCAAAAAUCUCAACCACUAAGAUUGGAUUUAGUGGCAUCAUGUUCUUCGUGUAAUGCUCCCCAUUUGUUGACACCUAUCACAUGAAGAACAAAAAGUGUAAGCGUCUCGAAAUAUAGAUGGCCAAUAGAAACCACAUUGUAAAACUUUAGUCGCUGUUUUCUUAGCACUGAAAUGGCCUCCACAAGCUUGUUCAUGGCAGAAUGAAAGGAUAUUCUGAAUUUCAUUUUCUGGGACACAUCGUCUAACAAUUUGAUCUGCACAAUACUUGAACAAAUACGGGUCAUCCCAAAAGAAAUUCUUUAUUUCUGCAAAGAAUUUAGCCUUGUCUUGCUUGGUCUAAUGCUCUGGAAGUUGACCUGUAACAAGAUAAUUAACGAUAUCAGCAUACCAAGGUAAUACUUCCACAUUCAUUAAUAGUUCAUCUGGAAAUGACUCAUUCAACGGUAAUGAUUCUGUAAUUGUGUCAAAAUGGAGACGAGAGAGGUGGUCCGCCACAACAUUUUUUGUGCCUUUCUUAUCUUUGAAUUCCAAGUCAAACUCCUGCAAAAGUAACACCCAACGAAUUAGUCUAGCUUUUGCAUCUUUCUUUGUGAGAAGAUAUUUAAGAGCAGCAUGAUCUGUGAAUAUAAUUAUUUUACAACCAAUGAGAAAAGAUCGAAAUUUUUCCAAUGCAAACACUACUGCUAGCAUUUCUUUUUCAGUAGUUGAAUAGUUCAACUGUGCAUCAUUCAAUGUCAUGCUAGCAUAGUAAAUAACAUGAGGAAUUCGAUCAACUCUUUGUCCUAAUACUGCUCCUACUGUAUAAUCAGAUGCAUCACACAUGAGCUCAAAUGGUAAGCUCCAGUUCGGGGGCUGAAUGAUGGGUGAUGAUGUCAACAAUUGCUUUAAUUUUUCAAAAGCCGCAAGACAUGAAUCAUUAAAGACAAAAGGUACAUCCUUAGCAAGUAAAUUGCAUAAAGGUCUAGAAACUUUGCUAAAAUCUUUAAUGAAACGUCUAUAGAAACCAACAUGUCCAAGGAAAGAUCUUACUUCUCUAACUGUUUUGGGUGGAGGAAGAUUAGAAAUGAGAUCCACCUUGGCUUUGUCAACCUCAAUACCUUUGCUCGAAAUGAUGUGACCGAGAACAAUACCUUGUUUUACCAUAAAAUGGCAUUUCUCCCAAUUUAAGACCAAGUUCUUCUCGAUACAUCUCUGCAGAACUAGUGUUAGAUGAUGUAAACAUUGAUCAAAUGAAUCACCAAAGACAGAAAAGUCAUCCAUAAAGACUUCAAGGAAUCGUUCAACCAUAUCAGAAAAAAUGCUCAACAUGCAUCGUUGAAAUGUAGCAGGUGCAUUACAUAAUCCAAAUGGCAUUCUCCUAUAUGCAAAUGUGCCAAAAGGGCAAGUGAAAGUGGUUUUCUCCUGAUCUUUUGGUGCUAUGGGGAUCUGAUUGUAUCAUGAGUAGCCAUCUAGAAAGCAAUAAAAUUUGUGGCCUGCUAAUCUAUCAAGCAUUUGAUCAAUAAAUGGUAAAGGAAAAUGGUCUUUACGUGUGACAGAAUUCAACUUUCUAUAAUCAAUGCAUACACACCAUCCUGUAGUCACUCUAGUGGGUAUCAAUUCAUUAUCAGCAUUCGUAACUACUGUAACUCCUGACUUUUUGGGGACAACUUGUACCGGACUGACCCAUGAACUAUCAGAAAUUGGGUAAAUGAUACAUGCGUCUAAUAGCUUAAGGACUUCUGUUCUAACAACUUCUUUCAUAUUAGGAUUUAACCGAUGUUGCAUUUCUCUAUUAGAUUUAGCAUUUUCAUCAAGGUGAAUGUAAUGCAUGCAGUCUACUGGGUUUAUACCUUUUAUGUCCGCUAUGGUCCAUCCUAAUGCUUCUUUGUGCUCUUUUAAAACAUCCAACAACUUACCUUUUUGUUCGUCAUUUAGGGAUGAAGAGAUGAUUACUGGUAGAGUACUUUCUUCUCCCAAAAGUGCAUAUUCCAAUGUGUUGGGCAAUGGUUUGAGCUCGAGUUUUGGUGGUGAUUCUGAUGAUGGGAUGAGUUUGUUCUCUGAUGGUGCUAGUUGUUCAACUCUUGACUUCCAUUUAUUAGUGUCCAUGGAUGGUACUGAGUCAAGCAGGGUGUUGACUUCAUCGACCGAUCUGUCAAUAUCAAAAUCCAAACCAAAGUGAGUUAAACAUGUUUGUAAAGGAUCAUCACUAAGGUUUGAAAGAAAAGUAUUAUCAACCAUUGUUUCUAUUAAAUCCACAUCAACAAUUCCAUCAUCUGCACUGUGAGGUUGUUUGGCAAUGUUGAAAAUGUUUAGCUCCAUAGUCAUGUUGCCGAAGGACAACUGCAUGUUUCCAGUCCUGCAUUGAAUGUGAGCAUCCGCAGUUGCCAAGAAAGGUCGGCCUAGAAUAAUGGGGAUGUGCUUUCUUGAAUCCUGUAUUGGUUGAGUGUCAAUUACAAUGAAAUCAACAGGAAAAUAAAACUUGUCUACCUGAAUAAGCACGUCCUCCACAAUACCACGAGGUAUUUUCGUGGACCGAUCUGCAAGCUGUAACACCAUUAGAGUUGGGUGUAAUUCUCCAAGUCCAAGUUUCAAAAAUACUGAGUAAGGCAACAUAUUUACACUAGCUCCUAAAUCCAACAAAGCAUUCUCAAUUGUGUGAUUCCCUAUGCUACAUGAGAUAGUGGGGGAACCUGGAUAUUUGCAUUUUAGAGGAAUUUUAUGUUGGAGGAUAGAACUAACGUUUUCUGUUAAAAAUGCCUUCUUUUGAACAUGAAUGUUUCUUUUUUUAGUACAAAGAUCUUUAAGAAACUUGGCAUAAGAUGGAACUUGCUUUAUAGCAUCAAGUAAAGGGAUGUUAACACUUACCUGUUUGAAGAUUUCGAGAAUCUCACCUGUGGAUUUUCCCCUUUUUCCUUUAGCUAACCUCUGAGGAAAUCUUUAGGAACAUAUUCUCGCGGGUUGGUUUCUUCUUUCUCCUCCGAUGGUGAGUCCUCAACAUUCACAGGUACAAUUUGAUUUUCUUUUGUCACCGGCAUCUCCACUUUGUUGUCGACUUCUUUUCCUUUUCUCAAAGUCAUGACUGCUUUGACCUCUCCAUGAUGCUGUGGUGAACUGGUACUUGCUUCAUGCACUCCUUUAGGAUUAGGCACUGGUUGACUUGGAAACUUGCCUUUCUCAACAGUCAUUGCCAAGGUCUGAACUGAAGAAGCAAGUUGUCCCACAAUCUUCUCAAGGCUUGAAAUUGAUUGAGCUUGUGAGUUGAAGCCUGAUCUCAACUCAUUUCGUAGUCCAUCAAUGGUGCGGUUCUGUUGCUCAAUCGUGGAGUGAGUAACAUUCUUGAAAUUCUGGAAUGAAUCCUCCCAUGGUCUGGGUUGAGAGUAGUUCUGGUUCUGAUUGUAUGAUCUAAAUGGUGGCUGAGAAGCUUGAGGAUUUUGUGGAAUUGGUGGAGCUGGAGCUGCUGGUCCGUUCUGUUGGAAUCCUUGAGACCAUGAAAAAUUGGGGUGGUCUCUCCAUCCAGGGUUAUAUGUGUUGGAGUAUGGGUUGUAAUUCGAUGGUUUCCUCAUUACACCUAUGGCAUUGGCUUGAUCUGAGUAUGAGUCAUGGUCAUGUGGUUCUGUUGAUUUAGCAGUCGAUAACGAUGCUAUUUGUCGAGCAAGACCUUCAACCAUCUCCUUGACUUCUUUGAUUCCCGAACUUGACUCGCCAAUGUGAACCUCAUUCACUCCCUUAAUUCUUCUAGUAUUCCUGAGUGAUCGACUCCGUUGUUGGGAAUUAUCUGCUUGUCGCUGGAAGAAGUCCCAAAUCUCUGAUGCACUUUUUGUCAUUAGCUCUCCUCCACUUGUUGCCAUUAGCCAUUCUUGCACAUUCGGCAAUAGUCCCUCCAAAAAGUAUUGGCAUUGGUGCCAUUUCUCGUACCCAUGAUGUGGACACUUCAAGAGUAGCCCAUUGAAUCGCUCCCAUGUUUCGAAAAACUGCUCGUCUUCUCUCUGGGUAAACUCUGAAAUUUCCCUGCGAAUAGCAUUGGUUUUAUGCACUGGGAAAUAUUUAUUCAAAAAUUUUGUUACCAUUUGUUCCCAUGAUGAAAUGCUAUUGGCUGGCAAUGUAUUUAACCAUGAACGAGCUCUAUCCUUUAAAGAAAAUGGGAAUAAUCUGAGUUAACAUCAUCGUCUGAAAAAUUUUCAUAUUUAAAAGUUUGACAAAUGGCAUGAAAAUCAUUCAGAUGAUUAUAUGGGUCUUCAUUUUCUAGGCCAUAAAAUGUGGGGAGACAAUUUAGCACACUAGGUUUUAAUUCAAAACUCCUAGCAGCUACAUUUGGGUAUCUUAUACAUGAUGUGCUCAAAUUAGCUAAGGGACUGAAAUAGUCCUUAAAUGGCCUCUCCUGUGGUUGCAAAUCCAUUUUAUUUUUAACUUGCUUGUGUGUGCGAAGUGUUUUUUCUAAUUCAAGGUCUAUAGGUUCAAGAUUAGGUAAUAAUGACCUUCGACCAUGCAUGCAAAAUAAAUAAAAUAAAAAUAAGGAUGGGAAUAAAACAAAUAAAAAUAAAGAAGAGGGAGAAAUUACAAUACUAACCUUAUCGCGCUAUUACAACCUUACUAUAAAAAUACACAAAAACAAAUACGUGAAAUAAAUUAACUAAAAAUAAAUUUAUAAGAUAAACAAAAAAAAAUUACAAAGAAAAAUAAAUUGAAAAUUAAAUUACAGAAUUUUUAAAAAAGAGAAAAAGAAAAGAAAUACUAACCUUUAAAUGUAGAUUCACUUUUUUUUUCUUUUUUCUUUUUUUUUUAAAAAAAAUACAAGAAAACAAUUUAAAUGGAAUUAUUCACAAAAAUUAAUUCCAUGAGUUAAAAUUACUUACCUCCCCGGCAACGGUGCCAAAAACUUGUUGUGCAAAUUUUAAUGUACUCGUAAGCGCACGAAUCUAUUGUAGUAUAGAUCAAUGGUGACGAGUGUCGAUCCCACGAGGAGGUGAAUUUUAAUUGUGUGUAAACUUAAUUUUGUAAAUGGGUGAUUGGAUUUGUGGUGGAAAUGAUUUGGAAUAUGCUAAAACUUAAAUUAAAAUGGCGAGAAUAAAUUCUAAAAUUGGAAUUGAAAUGGCGAGAAUAAAUUGAAAAUAAUUCUAUUGAAAUGACGUACUUGGGUAUCUGGAUCCGUAUCAACAUGCAUCAUGGGCUAAAUAAUCCUUAUUAAUGCCAAUUAAAUCAUGAGGGGGGAAUCCACACCUCAUGAACCACACUCUAAUCAAUAUGGUGCUAAGGGCUUAUCGUGCCAAAUAAUAAUAACUUUGUACUAGGGGGCCGGUGAAACCAAGGCGGUACUAGACACGAUUAUUAUUAUUUGUCGACGAGAAGUCAAAACAUCCACAAAAACUAAAGGGGAAGAGAAAAUAAAUUUACCAAAUAUAGCCCAUGACACAUGUUGAGACUUCACCUUCAACCCAAGCUUGAAAGAAAAUUAGCCACUCAUAAUUGAACUAGGGGCAAAAUGGGAAUUUAUUAAAAUACAAAGAAAAUACAAGAUGGAGAGGGAAUUACAGAAAAUGGAGUCCAAAAAUGGAUUUAGAGCUAUCAAAUUAGGGGGGGAGGUCCCCUUUUUAUAGAUACAUCGAGUAAAUCAUGGCCAUCGGAUUAAAAACAGUUUGGACGCUCAGGAUUGCGCCACGUCAUCAGUCAACAGUACGCGUGAACAGUACGCGUGAACAGUACGUGGUUUGACUAUGCAGCUUGAACAGUGACACGGUUUGCACACGGUUUGUACAGUAACGCGGUUUGCACAGUAACGCGGUUUGGUUGAAGAUAAUCCCAUGUGUUGCAUGUACCGUAUGCGCAUUUUUUUCGUCCACUGAUAUGCUGCCACGUCACCAUCAACAGUACAUAAGAAUUUUAGCCCAACAGGAUCGAGACACCUCAUCAAUCAAUGCCACGUCAUCGGUCAAUGCCACGUCAUCGAUCCGUCUAUGUGAACAGUGCCGUGAACAGUAACAAAGACAGUACCCGUACAUGUGAAUAGUACCGCACAUGUGAACAGUGUCAUUUUUCCUUUUAUGCUCCUUCUAAGGUUUUCUACCGUCCUGAGUUCAAAAGUGAUGUCCGUUUUGCCGUCUGAUCUCUCGUUUAUUGUGAAAUGACCAUGAUGCUCCUAAAAUACAUAAAAUACUUAAUUAAAAUCAAACACACAGAUUUAAAUCAAAAGAAGGUUAAAUUCAUAAAAAUAAAAGUGUUAGUAAAUCUUGUAGUGUAAAAUGACGAUUUUCUCCUUUAUAAAUAUACAUUUUAUAACACUCAACAUGCUGCCGAGUCACCCAUGCCAAUGCUUGCUGGAUGAUGAAUGUUGAGUUAGCUCUCUGUGGUGUUUUGUCGAGCAGUUGAUUCAUUCCAUCA